Molecule: long non-coding RNA, 1640 nt
Organism: Sarcophilus harrisii (Tasmanian devil)
Lineage: Eukaryota; Metazoa; Chordata; Mammalia; Dasyuromorphia; Dasyuridae
Exons: 3
Source: RefSeq, a predicted model, not a curated record
CCCGCAACGAUUUACCAGCUCUGACUCGCGCCCCACAAACGGAGGGAGAGGCCCCGUCAGGCCGAGCCAGGAGGCGGCCAGGCGUGCAAUUCAUGCUUCAGGAAAUUCACUUUGGCAGCUCUAUGGAGGAUGGAGGAGAGAAACGAAGCAGGAGACUCAUUGUGAGGCUAUUUUAAUAAUUCAACUGGGGAGUAAUGUUCCUGGACAAAACAUACCCUUUAGAAAAGUAAAUGAUAAGAUGAGGACAAAAAGGCCUUUCUUCUUAAAGAAAUGGAUUAAGGGCAAUAACAAAUUUACUUCUUGUUUCAUUUCCGUUAUUUCUUUCCCCACUCUCCUGAAAUGAUUGGUUAGCACAAGGAGCAGAGAAUCAAUCCAUACUCUGUUGCAUCUCAGCUUCAGAGGCUGCAUUCAGUGCACAAUCAUCUGCAAACAAAAAAGCACGCUCCAACACUCCCUCCGCUUUAGUUUUGGCUUAUCAAGUCUUUUCAAGUUGAAGAUUUACCCUAAGGGCUGAAGCUGACUUUGAUUACAUGUUUGUCCCCAUCAAAGGUGUUUGCCAACAUGGCAGAAAUCUUCAUGCUACAAAGCAUGGGAGCAAGCACACAGCUUGUGUCACUGCCCUGGUGACCAGGAAAGCUCCAGAGCAUCGUCCAUUGCCCAGAGCCUGGGCAAGCCUCCUGUCAUGAAACUGACCUACUGUACUGGAGAACUUCUCUGAGUAACCAAAUCUUGACAGUUUUCCAUAAACCCUUAUGACUGACAGUAUCAAAGGCCCAGUCAGUGCACAAAUGUUGUGUACAGACCUCUUCUGCUCCUGGCAGAACAAGCAUUCCAACUCCCACAGCCCUGCUGGGCCGGUCACAUCAUUCAAAGGCUAAAUGUAUCCUUGCCAAAAAGAUUAUUUUAUGGAGAACUCACACAGGGCAAGCACCCACAAGGUGGUCACAAAAAGUGAUACAAGGACCCUCUCAAGGCCUAAGAAUUUCAGAAUCAGUUGUAUGGGGGGCUCAGGGCCACUCAGCACGACGGGCCCUCAUCAGAGAAGGUCUGCACUCCAUGAGCAAAGCAGAAGGGAGUUAGCCCAGAAGAAACUCAAGAGGCAGUUAGAGAAGCCGCCCCAAACGUUCAUAGGGACUAUUUGUGUCCAACCUGGGCAGAGCAUCCUGAGCUUGUACUGGUCUGAUCAGCCACAGUUGUAACUCAUAACAUAGUGAUGUCAUUUUGGUCCUCUUAGAGAAUGAAAGACAACCAACCAAAGAGAUGGCUACUGGGACCCACUAUCCAUUGAGAAAGGAUUAAAAUAGUGAUCAAAGGAAGAAUACCACUUUGCUUGCAUAAAGAAUGAAGUGAAGUGAUUUUAUUACUCUUAUUACUUUAAACUGUUGAUCUAAAAUUGUAUUUUCACAUAUUAGUAUAUUUUCUUUUAAGAUUCCAAUAAAAUUUACCAUCUUGGGGACAGAUAAUGAUGUUAGAUGGCAUGGACAAGCCAGAAAUGGCUUAGAUACUAAUAUUAAAUAAAAUUGUUUCUGCCAGCCUCUUUCUUUAUUUUAUCUUUAACAUUAUGGAUUCUUUGAAAUUUGCUAGAUAAGAUGAACCCCUGUUUUAUCCACUUUGAGCCUCUUAGGGUAACAAACCACCUA